Molecule: long non-coding RNA, 1513 nt
Organism: Triticum dicoccoides
Lineage: Eukaryota; Viridiplantae; Streptophyta; Magnoliopsida; Poales; Poaceae
Exons: 7
Source: RefSeq, a predicted model, not a curated record
UUCUCACAGCCGUCGCACCAUUCCUCCCUUCCGCCCCCUCCUUCCCGGAUCCCCACCACGGCACCGACCUGCAGGCAAAGGGCGACAGCGGCGGCGCUCUAGGAGAGAGAAGAUGAGAGGGAGAGAGAGGAGGGAGAAAGAGAGGAAGAGGAGAGGAGGCACGACGUCAGAUGGGAGAGUGGCCAACCCGGCUCGCGUCGGCUGGGGCCGCACCCCUCCCCGAAGGGCGUCGAUGAUGGAGGGAUCUACCAGCGCCAUCCAGGCUCUCGGCCGACGGACUCGCUGGGUCGCCGCCCCUCCCGUGCGGUGGGGACAUCCACGACGGCGCGGGCGGGGACCGAGCGGCGGGGCCCGUGAUGCGUUCCGGUCAAGGGAUUGGUCGGGCCGGCGCGGGAUCUUAGCCGCCGUCGAUGGAUUUCUCGCAGCUUGGCUACCUGUUGCUUUGGAUCCGGCGAGCUCUCGUUGCCGGAUCACUGGCCAAUCGUCGGGUUGGCGGCCACGUCAGUUCCGCACCGCUGCCAGCGACCGCUGUUCUGUUGCCUUGGAUUCGGGUGUGGCGUUGGCUGGGAACCGUAUGGUGUUUUUCUGACGUGCCAUCCGCAUUGUGGGGGUUUGGUCGGUUGACUCCAGGUUUAGCAGCGGGCAAUGCUCAAGACAGAGUUGGGCGCACAUCAUAUAUAUACAUAUGUUGUCGUGUCUUAAUAAAUGGAGAUGAGCAGAAGUAGAGAUGAAAUAGGCCGUUCUGUUGCUUCUGUGACCGGCGAGUGUUCAUUGCAUGCCUGUGUGUCGUUGUGCUCUGAUCGGUUGUUUUUUGUGUAUUUUCGCAGGUUGCACGAUCUCUGAUGUAGCUGUGUCGUUCGACUCAUCAACAUAUACCACGAAGGGAAGAUCUGCCUCACUGUGCACUUCAGGGGCGCAUACACUAGCGAUGGUACAGGAUUGGCUUCCUGGUGGAAUCAGGUGCGCAUCGUCCAUGGUGUCCUGUCGUGGGUGUUGGUGGGCGGCUGGAGGCGGCUGUAGCAGGCUCUAGAAUCGCUAAGGUUGCUCCUUCUCUAUUCCUUUGGUCAAGCACAGAGGAAUGAGGAAUGGAUAUAGGAGGCAUGGUGCGUAGGGGUCAGCCAGGGCACGACGCAGGAGUCUGCCCAUAUCCUCUCAAAGACCUAGUAUGAUGCAUAUUUGAAAGAGUGCAUCUAUUGUUUCUGCUGAAAAUUGAUCUCUAUUUGAAGGAGUGCAUCUAUUGUGCAUCUACGCCAGAAGACAGUGUGCUGUUUUUUAUUCCAUGCUCCAAAUAUUUCAUGUCCGAUUCAUAGACAUCCUUCAAUUGCUUAAUGAUGAUGGCAUGUUUGAUGUUCAUAUUUUUGUCAGCCAAAUAAUAAUAGGUGCACUUGAUUGUUUGAGGAAAUGCCAACUAAAGCUACAUUCAGUUAGAAUUAGAUUUUUGCACGUGUGUUCUUGAUGCUUCAUGUACGACCAGUUCUCUCGAAUAAUGAGUUACUCCCUCAAUUUUACAAUA